RNAcentral lists this long non-coding RNA (5928 nucleotides) under Gossypium barbadense (sea-island cotton). RNAcentral describes it as "long non-coding RNA (GBAR_LNC016156)". Lineage: Eukaryota; Viridiplantae; Streptophyta; Magnoliopsida; Malvales; Malvaceae. The record is from RNAcentral.
CCCGACCGCCAAAGAGGUUAGCGCUUUGCUUCCUUCCUGUCUUGUUUAUUUUGGCUUCAUUACUCUCAACAUCACUCCUGAUAUCAGCCAAUCAUUACUCCAUUAACAUUCACAAAUAACAGUGCAUUGCAUGGACAUCUUAUGAAGGGUAGUUCUUUAUUUGCAGAAAUAUAGCAAAUUUUAUUAUAUCUAAAAUUACCCUUUUGUUAUUAUUUCAAUUAUUUAAUUUAAAUCUAGUAUUUUGAAUCUAAAUUGCGACUAGACUUGCUCAUCAUUAUCAUGUCUAAGUCCAAAGGUCCUUCCGAAAAUUAGGAGAUUUAGACAAAAAUACAAGGUUCGAAAAAUGUAUUUGGGUAAAAUUUAAGACUCGUUUUCUAUAUGGGUCGGGCUUUGGGUAAGAUUUUUUACCCAACCCAACCCGGCCCAAAUAUAUUAUGUUAUAAAAAUAUUUCAUUAUUAUUUUCAUAUAGGCAUUAAUUGUAUUUUGAAUUUUUUUAUUGUUAAUAUUUUAAUUAACAAAUUUGUUAAUAUAAUUUACUUAUAUUCAAAUAGCAUAAUAGAAAAAUGGGUUAAAACUUGACUGAGUCUUAGCUUGAUUGGUAAUGACAUUGUUGUUAGUAUAAGAGGACGUGGAUUCGAGUGCACUAAAGCGCAUUAUCCUCAUUUUUAAUGGUUGAGAAAGGGCUAUGGGUAGUUUUAGACAUGGUCUAAAAAGAACAGAUAUGAUGAGAACCUAUAAUGAGAUUAAUGUUAAAAAAAUUAAAAAAAUAAACACCUCAACUCAUAUGCAACGUAUGAGAUACCGAGAACUAAUCUAUAAUCUAUAUAUAUAAGCACGAGUUUAGAGGAACUUUUGAAACGACUAAAGUACUCUUUAUUUUUCAUCAUAUUAUUAAAUUGACAUUUAAAGAUAAUUAUAAUAUUUAACUUAGAAUUGUUAGUUAAAAAGUUUACUAUAAAAUAUAAACUGGGAUGAUUAUAUAUUCAUAAAUGAUAAUAAUUUAAUAAAAAUUGUGAUAAUUACACAUUUAAAUAUAAUUAUAAUUUAAAAUAAUUAUUUAAAAAAUUUGAUUUAAACAAAGUUUUACUAAUUUAAAAUAAAACUGUAAUUUUAGUAAAACUCUAAGCGUAAACUAUAAGAAAAAGUUGUUAUAAUUAUAAUUUAAUUUACAAUUAUUAGUUAAAAAUGAUUAUAAUUUAAUUUAUGUAAAUUAAAGUUAUUAAUUGAAUAGAACUCUAAGCAUAUUAAUUAUUAUUAGAGUUAUAUACCAAUUAAAAUUUAACUUUAAUUUUUUAAAGUAAAUUUAGUAGUUACAUCUAUUCAAUCAAGUAACAUGUAAGAAAAUUUAUGAACAAAAAAAUUGGAAAAUUUUAAUAAUAAUAAGUAAGAAUUAUAUAAAAAAGAAUGAGGCAUUAAAGUAAUGGUUAUUUAAAAAUGUAAAUAUUGAAUCAUAUUCUAACAACAGUGGCACUAGAGAGAGAUAAAAUAUUAUUUUAAUUGCUGACGAGAUAAUAUAGCAUUAUGAUAAUCUUGUGUAAGUUGUUUAUACUAUGUGAAUCAAACAAUCUUAAAUUCGUCUUUUAUUUAUCCAUUAUGUGUUUGGUGCUGGUGGAAAACAUUUUGUGGAUUCAUUUUAAAAAUAAAUUUAAAUUUCAACCAUUAUUUUCUAAUCAUUCUUAUUAAUUUAGUGUAAAUAUCUUUUGUAUUUAUUUUCUUAUAUAGCUUCAAAUUUGUGUAUUAUUUUAAUAGUGUUAUGUAUUAAUUCUUUUUUUAUUUUAAAAAUGUUAUUUUAUUCUCUCAACUAUUUUUUUCAAAAUUAAUUGACUUUUAGUAUAAAUUUAAGUUAGUACAAAUAUAUAUUUUUAACAUUAUAAAAAUAUUAAUUAAGAAAUUAAGAAAUUGUAUAAUAUUUCGUGUAACACGUGAUAUUUGAAACUAGUAUAUAUAAAAGCACGAAUGUAAAGAAACAUUUUACGAUAUCAUUGGCCGUAAAUUAUAUCACAAAAUUUUAUAUGUGCAGUUACUUUAAUUAUAACACGUGAUAUGUGCAGUUACUUUAAUUAUAUAUGAAAUAAAUAACCAAACUGCGAUAUUUCAGUAGUUUAUGGAGGUAGCUUAGCAUGGAGAUCUGUUAAAGGUUUUGGGUCAUGUUUGACUGUCCAUUUUAGUUCAAUAAAUUCUCAAAACUUAUUUAAAGUUUAUUUGUUUCACUACAUCAAAACAGGCUUUUAGCGGCGCCUUUAGCGGCGUUUGGACAAAAAACGCCACUAAAAAUAAAGCAGUAGCGACGCUUUUAGAAAAACGCCGCUAAAGGUCGAUCAUUUGCGGCGAUUUUUAAAAAACGCCGCUAAAAAUAAGCAUUAGCGGCGUUUUUUGGAAAGCGCCGCAAAAAGCCUAAGCCCAACUGCACCGUUUUCUGAGUUUUUUGGGGUCUUUAGCGGCAUUUUCUGAAAAGCGCCGCUAAUGAUCAGGUCUUUAGCGGUGUUUUUGAAUAAGCGCCGCCAAUGCUCUGGUCUUUAGCGGCAUUUUUGAAUAAGCGCCGCUAAUACUCAGGUCUUUAGCGGCGUUUUUGAAUAAGCGCCGCUAGUGAUCAGGUCUUUAGCGGCGUUUUUUAAUAAGCGCCGCUAAUGCUCGUACCUUUAGCGGCGUUUUUUGAGGAAGCGCCGCAAAAACAUUUUAUCUAUCUAUUUGCUAUGUAAUUUGUUUAUUUAUAUUAAUUAAAAUCCAAUUUAUUUUUAAUUGAAUAUUUGUUAAAAAUUGAUAAAUUUGAAAUAAUGACACGUAGAAAUAAUUUGAAAUAAAAAACAUAGAAAAAUAUUUGUUAAAAAUAGAGAAAUUAAAAUACUAUUAUUUAAAAUAAUUUUAAAAUUUUUUGGGUACAUAAUUGAUUGAUUUUUAAUUUAAAUAUUAAAUAAUUUCAAAUAUAAUUGUAAAAGAUACGAUAGUAUUAAUUUUGAAAUAUUUAAUUUAAUUAUCAUUAUAGUUUAGGGUAUAUAUAUAUAUGGUUAAUUUAGGAUUUAGUAGGGCCGAUUUAAGAGUUACAAUUUUAAGGUUUAUAGAUUAUGGAAUUAGGGAUUUUGAUUUAAGGGUUGUGAUUUAAGGUUUAUUUAGGGGUUAGGGGUUAGAGUUAGGGGUUAAAGGUUAGAAGUUUAGGGUUUAUGGAUUCGGUGUUAGGUUAGAAUUUAGGGUUUAGACUAAUUAAUAUAUUUUAUAUUAUAUAAUAUUAAAUAAUGUUUAGGGGUUAGGGAUUUAGGGUUAGGGUUUAGGAUUAAUUUAGAUUAAUUAGUGUUUUUUAAUUUAUAUAUUAAAUAAUGUUUAGGGGUUAGUGAUUCGGGGUCGAGUUAGGGUUUAGGAUUUAGAUUAAUUAGUGUUUUUUAAUUUAUAUAUUAAAUAAUGUUUAGAGGUUAGGGGUUAGUGAUUUGGGGUCGAGUUAGGGUUUAGGAUUUAGAUUAUGUAACACCCUUUAACCCUAAACCAUCGCUGGAACAGGGUUACGGAGCAUUACCGGAUAUAUCAGAUAACUUAUAACUAGUUCACAAUUAAAUAACAGAUAUAGCAUACUUGUAUCAAAUAUGUCAUAUUGGUUCCAUUUCAUACUUAUAACCAAUAUAAACAUCAUUCUACAACCGUAAUAACAAAACUUUUAUACUUAACCUAUACAUCACCUAGGUACAUGCCACAUUAUCAAACAAAGGUACAUCACUAAAAUUUCUCUGAGGUCGGGACUACUCUGGAUGCUGGACCGAACACUGGAUUUCUACUAACCUGCGCACGGAAACAACCGUACGCUGAGCAUGGGAAUACUCAGUGGUAUUACUAUAAUUCAAAUUAAUAACAUUAAUCGGUAAAUUAUAUACAUUUAAUUUAUGUCUAUAAUUAUUCAUUAAUUAUCUCGUAAAUAAAACCAACUUGAUAAUUAAUAACAAUAAGCAAUAUUUCAAUUCUUGUAUUUAAUUGUAUUCAUACAUUAUUUCACUAUCUCAAUUCUAUUGGAUUUUUCAACAUCUCAUUCUAGUAACUCAUUCCAAUUUAUACAAAUUCAAUCACUUUAUCAACUCAUUCAUUAUCAUUUCUAUUUAUAUUCAUUUUAUACUUUUAAUCUUUUAAUAAUCAAAUUAAACGUUUAAACCAACAUGUUUCAAUAAUAAUAAUAACUAAUUUUAUAAAAUUUUAUUCAAAUUAACUCAUACACUAUUUUUUUUAUUAUUAUUUCAAUUUAUACCAUUAAUCUUUCAAUAAACAUUUCAUAUAUUAAAUCAACUUGUUUCAACAACAAUAAUAAUAAUAACUAUCUUUCAAUUCGAUUCGUUCAUUUUUAAAUCAAUUUACACAUAUAAUCUUUUAACACUCAAUUUAUACAUUAAAUCCAUAAAUAAAUUUCAAUAACUUGUAUUCAAUUAAAUUCACAUAUAAUUUCACUAUUCAAAUCAUUUAAUUUUCACUCCUCAUUUUUCAACAAAAGCUAUUUCAAAUUGCUUUUCUUCAUUUAGAUUUUACAUCAUCUCUUACUACCAAAAUCAUUUCAUGAAUUAUAUCAUUAUCUAUUUCUUGAACCCAUGGUUCAUACAUUUCAUUUUCUAUAUCUCAAUUUAAUCUUUCUUUUCGAUUCAUAUUCAAGAUCAUUCAAUAAAAUUUAUAUUAUCAAAAUUAUUCAUUUACCCCUAUUAACUUGACUCGGACUCUGACAGAUACGCGGAUUCCACCCAAACACACCAGAAUAUCCAACCAAAACACACCUGAAAUAAAUAUAAAUCCUCCAUAACACACCCAAUAUAUCAUAUCCUCCCAAACACACCAAUAAGGCAUUAAAUGCCUCUUCGGAUAAACCGAAGCAUAUAAUAACAUAAUCAUCUUCUCGGCCGAGCUACAAAUCUCCUCAUCACAUCACAAAUCCUAUGGCAUGCCAUUUGUAUCCAAUCUAGUCCGAUAAGUUAAUAGGGUAUUCGAAUCACAAUUCAAUUCAAUCACUUUCUCAUACUUUCAAUUCCAAUUUAAUCACAAUUUAAUUCAAUACAUUUUUUAUCUUCCAAUCAGUAUACCAUCAAAUGCUCAUACAUAUUUAUACUUCAUUUAAUUUCAUUCAAUUCACAUACGAUUCAAUAUCAUUUAAUUCAAUAUCAAUAUUCACCUUAUUUUUAUUUACUAAACAUAUUAUUCAAAAUUCAACAAUUGCUAUUAAUAAAUUCAAUAUCAAUACGUAUUUAUCAUUCAAUUCAAUCAUGAUACUUACUUCAAUUUGCUUAUCAUGUAUAUUAAUUUAAAUUUUAACAAUUAAUAAUUAAAUUCGAAUUAUGGUAAUACUAACCGUAAAUUUUCUCGAGUCACUCCUUGAUCACCUUCCCCUUUCCUUUCUCGGCAAUGACUCUUGCACGACAUUAGCUACGUAAUUAAACAAUUAAAAAUUAUUAAUACACAAUUUCAUUAAAAUAUUUCCAUUUAUACCUAAACUUUACCUAAAUUCUAAUUUAAUCCCUUAUCAAUACUAAUUUUAUUUUCCCAAUCUAACUCCAUAUGCUCUCUUAAUUCUUACUAUAAAUUCACUUUAACUCUUCAUUUUCACCAUAAAUCCUUAAUUUCGAAAUUCUCUCAAUUUAGUCCCUAUUAAUUCAAAGCCUAUAAUUUAUUUUACAAAUCAACCUUUUACUAACUUUUAACUUGAAAUUUAAUCAAUUUAACCCUUAAUUCUUUCAUUUAUUCAACAUAAUCAAUGUCUAGAAAUAUAAUAACUUCUCAAAUUUCAACAUAAAUCCAAUAAUACUUUGUUCUAGAAUACCAAAAACUAAAAAAAUUAUAAGAAAAUAACUUAAUUUAACUUACCAAUUAAGCUUGAAAGCUUGAAAUCCCAAAUUUUCUUCCUUUCCUUCCCUUUUUUUUUCUUUUUCUUUCCUUUCCUUCUUUCCUUCUCUGUUUCGUUUGCCUAUUCUGUU